Molecule: RNA transcript, 1241 nt
Organism: Panicum virgatum (switchgrass)
Lineage: Eukaryota; Viridiplantae; Streptophyta; Magnoliopsida; Poales; Poaceae
Gene name: 28 kDa ribonucleoprotein, chloroplastic-like
Exons: 6
Source: RefSeq, a predicted model, not a curated record
CCCGCGACACGGCCACGGAUAUCUUCGCCGCCUGCUGCGUCGCGAGCUCUCCCCAUGGCGCUCCCCCUCGCCCGCCUCCUCCUCCCCGCGCCCCCCGCCUGCCAGUGCCAGCCCCCGCUUGGCCUGCGCUUCCGCACGCGCCACGUCUCCUUCGCUGCCUGCUCCCGCGGUCACCGCGCCGCCAUCGCUGCCCGCGCGGCCGCUAGCGCCCCCGCGGCCUCGGCGCCGGAGGCGGUGGCGGAGGAGAAGGUGGAGCCGCGGACGCGGCUCGUCGCGCAGAACAUCCCGUGGGACUACACGGCCGACGACAUGCGCGCGCUCUUCGAGAAGCACGGCUCCGUCGUCGGCGUUGAGCUUUCAAUGUACAAUGCCAGUAAAAACAGAGGGUUGGCAUUUGUAACGAUGGGUUCAGAAGAGGAGGCUUCUGCAGCUCUCAACAAUCUCAAUUCAACUACUUUAAAUGAUAGAAAAAUCAAGGUGGACUUUGCGCGACCUAGAAAGAAGCAACCUAAGCAAGUUAAGCAACCUGUUGUGGUAUCAGAUAGCUCGGAAAAGUACAUUCUAUUUGUCGGAAAUUUGACAUGGAGAGUUAGAAAUCGUCACCUUCGUGAAUUAUUUGCCUCGACCCCAGGUGUCUUAUCAGCUGAAGUUAUCUUUCAUACCACUACACCAAGGCGAUCCGCUGGUUAUGCAUUUGUUUCUUUUUCUUCGAAAGAGGCUGCAGAGGCUGCCAUAUCUACUUUAAAUGGACAGAAUUUGAUGGGACGGCCCAUUAAUGUGAUGUUCAAAGAAGAAAAUGCUAAGAAGAAUGAAUCUUCUGUCCCAAAGGAAGAUGUGUCCGUGGUGGAAUCGUCUGAACAGAGUGAUAGCUAAACACUAACUUUUCCGAGAAUCAAGAAAAGUGAAAUGAAUUGAUCUGUGGUUACAUAUAUUCUGACCCAUGGAUGCCAUAUUGCCGCUCCGUUUUGCUGGUUCAGGGCUCAUCGAUUGUGAAAUACGUGCUCUGUUAGUGGGUGUGAAGGUUUGGGGAUUCAGAGUGAGGGGCCGGCCAUGAAAGGAAGGGUCAAAAUGCCCAGGCUCGAACUAGCGCGAUGGAUGAGUCUCCUGUUCACUGCAGUCGUUCACUGACGUGUCCCAGGAAAACCAGAUAUGAGAUAUUUGUCUGUCUUCAAACCCCUCCUAACUCCCUAUCUCAAAAGAAAUGCAACUCUCUUUUUUGCGGUAAAAAUGCAACUCUCUCA